CUUUCCCAGAAAUCCCGGCAAAUCCGCCCUAGAGUUUUCGUUGGUCCAACCGGGCCACAGACUCCGGCCCGUCUGGUUAGGUGGGAUGCCUGAUUGGGCCAAACCUCUUAGGUCCCGCACCUAGAGCGGGGAGUAGCGUCUGCUUUUUUUUCCGCUGAGCGGAGGCCGCUAGGCUGGAGAGGGAGGGGAAGGUGUGUGGGGUCGGGUGAGAUGCUUUCCCCUCGUCCCGCAUGCGCCUGUAUUGGAGUGAUUUCAGUUAAAAGUCUCGUGAAACGUCACCAGUGAUGUAGUCACGGCCAGCAGCAGCUGCCUGACCCCGCCGAGGCCUUCCGUCUGGCAACAUGUGGGGCGCCGCAAUGCUUGAGGCCACGGCGAGGGCAACGCCGGCCGCGCCCCGUGGAAACCGCGUGGCGGAGUGCUUGAGCCGAUCGCGCUCUUUAGGAGUUAGGCCACUUAGAGGCGACAUCUUGGUGGACACGGAGGAAGCCAGUUUUAGUCAGAUGGGAAAAGUAGCUAAAAGUGGGAGGAGACUGGGGCGAGGGUGGGACGUGGGGGAGGCGGGGGCGUGACGGCGGCUCUCCACUGCCCUGAGGCUUGAGGGGCCCCGGGAAACCCGGGCCCGGCUGGGGUUGGGACUCUGUUCUUCCGCGUUCAUAGCUACGAUUCAGCUGUUCUGGAAUGAGAACUGGAUUUUUACUGAACUUUACGAACAGGCUCAACAGGAUGUAACCAUUCAGUGUGGAGGCAUGAGAAACUAUAGCUUGUAAAUUAAAAGAAAAACCUCAUUUCUUUAGACAACAUUUUCAGCUCCAUCUGCUGGUCUGAGGCUGAAUAAUUAAUUGAAAAGCCAGGAGAGAAAUGGGGCUAGAUGAAGUGAGGUAGUUUAACCUGUGCUUUCUUGGCGUCCCGUCGGCUCCCUUUGCUUGCAUUCCUAAGAGAAUCUUGGUCUCAGAUUUCAGGACAAGUGGAAAACAGUUGGGCUAUUUAGUAUAGGCCACCCCUUCCCCCCCGCACCCUCUCCCCCCACACACUUCAGUUAAGUAGGUGGAAAGUUUGGAUUAUUAAAAAGACACGUUGGAGGCUGAGCAGAGAGUGUGAAAGAGCAUUUUCGGGGCUUUGUGAACUAACAUGGCCUUUUGAACCCCAAGGCAGUGAUACUUGGAUUGAUCUAAAUCAGCGUGGAUGGAAUGGAAGUGGGAAUGCGUUGAUUUACUGCACGCUCAGUAGUUUGGAUGCUGUGCUGCUUUUGUUUCCUGUAUAAUAAGCCCCUUUAAUUUGUUUCACAUAACUUAUUGGGGGAGGUACCAUUAUUUCUGAUUUUAUAGACAAGGAGGCUGACAAAGAACCAUCCUGGUGUCACAGGGUCGAUUCAUACCUAGAAAAGUAUGAAGAUUCAUACCUAGAAAAAUUAGAAGAACAUUAAUGCAGCUCCAAGGCCUUUUAAAAAUGCGAGACUUUAGCUUUGAAAGGCAGCUGUUCUGCCUUUUAGGUUUGUGGGGUCUGCCUUUUAGGUUAGGGUCCUUUUAGGUUUGUGUCUCCAGCAUAUAAAAUUGUGCCUGACCCAAAGCAAGGGCUCAAUAAAUACUGUUUGAAUGAACAGACAAACCUGGGUUCAAAUCAUGCUCCUCAACUGCACAGUUGUGAUGAUCUGUCCUCAACACUCACUCCCUGCUCUCUUUGGAAGCAACCCUGGCUUUUAUUCCCCCUAUUUGUAGCAGGACAAGCCGCAGACAAAACCCCUCAGAAACCAAGUUAAAGAAGGAAGGGCUUUAUUCGGCCAGGGAACUUCAGCAAGACUCACGUCUCCAACAACCGAACUCCCCAAGUGAGCAAUUCCUGUCCCUUUUAAGGGCUCACAACUCUAAGGGGGUCCACGUGAGAGGGUCAUGAUCAAUUGAGCAAGCAGUGGGUAUGUGACUGGGGCUGCAUGCACAGGUAAUUAGAACGGAACAGGACAGGACAGGGAUCUUCACAGUGCCUUUUUUAUGCAAACAACCAAUUAGGUCAGGAGUCAAUCUUUACCAGGCCCAGGGUGUGGCGCUGGGCUGUCUGCUUGUGGAUUUCAUUUCUGCCUUUUAGUUUUUACUACUUUUUUCUUUGGAGGCAGAAAUUGGGCAUAAGACAAUAUGAGGGGUGGUCUCCUCCCUUACUAUGAUCCUGGAGUUUGGGGAGGUCAGAGACAUCCCUGGUUCCAAAGGACACACGACUGGCACUGUAUGCGUUGAGCACAGCUGAGGGUGGUCGGAGGCCCAAUUAGGGCCACUGAGCCUGGAGGUGUUUGCUGAAGGAUUCUGGGGAAGGAGAUUUUUCUCCCUUCCCUUCUGGACUCACAGUGUGUGGAUAGCACUGUUGCAGCCAUCUUGCUGCCCUGAGUGGUAGACCCUUGAUGAGGCAGACAGGAAAGCUGGGAAGAAAUCAGGCUCUUGAUGACUAUGUUGGGAGUCAAAUCAUCCCUCAAGUUUGGACUUUUCAGUUUCAAGAGCCAGGAAAUCCUUUUAUCUUUUGUACUAUUUAAAAUUGGGCAUAAGCAUAAAGUUAUUUGCAACCUGACUAGUGUGGCUUAAGCAUUAGCAGGGUGGCUGUGGCAAGUGAGUUAGCCUCUUUGAGGCUCAGCUGCCUCCUCUGUAGAAUAGGGGCAAUGGUCAUAUCCAUCUCCUCGGGCUGACGUGAAGAGCGAACGAAACAAUGCAUGCUAAGUGCUUCAUAUGGGGCCGAGCAUGAAGUAGCAUCCAGAAAGCGUUGGGAAAGCAGAAUCAUGCUUUGACAUUUUGCAUCUAUAGCAACUUCCUUAUUUGCCAACAAUCCCUCCAAUGACUGGCUUUUAAACUUGGAAGAAGUGUAUUGACAAAUUGGUGGGAUUUGUCACCAAAUUGCAUGGGCCCUUCUGAAGAUGAGCCCAGUGGUCCCAUGUGCAGCGUGGAGUCCGUCCAGGGAGGAAGGGCACAUCUGGUCACACAGGCAGAGUCCUUGGCAGCUCUGAUGACAGGCUUGAUUUAAGGAUCUUUAAGUCUGUAAAUAGAGGAUUGAUCUUUUCCCUCAUUGUCAAUGUUGUUCUCUGGCGCAGGAUCUUAACAGCAUUUGUUUGCCAUGAGAGGCUGCAUGACUUGGAGCCAGUCAAUCUACGGUGACAGCAAAGCAGUUGUGACUCUAAUGUACUGCCACCAAAAACACUUUCUUUUCCGUCUCUCAGCCUUAGCAGGAUCAUCUGAGCCACUGCCAGUUCAGAGUGAGCUGGGGCUGCUUUUCCAGGAGGGCAGUUGGGGACCUGACUUUUGAGGAGAUUCUGAGGUUUACUGAAGGAGCAAACCCUAUGGGGUUAGACAGAGUUUUGUGAAAUCUGAGCUCUGCCUUCUCUGUACUUCAGUUACUGCCUCUGUAAAAUGGGGGUGUGGACACUGUAGACAUUAAAUGGCAGUGUAUAAAGGAGGCACCAUCUGGAGCAUUUGUCCAGCCUGCAAUGAUGCCGUUUGUCUGAGAAGGUUGUAGGGAUCAUUUCUGGUUUGAAUCUCAGCCCUCUUCCCAGCUCAGCCACCAGCCAUCUGGAAUUGUGGGAGAGGUCAGACGGCUGCAAAGCCUCUAUGUGGAAUUGGAACUAAAUACACAUAUUUAUCAGUAUUUAAUGGAAGACUGCAGGAUGCUUGCAGAGUCUACAGAAGGCACUGGUAAGGUGGCUCUUUUAGUCUGGGAACAAGAACUGGGCAAUGGAUGCCUCAGAGGCUGAGUUGGACUGACAGAGCUGUGACCAGUGUCUAGAACCUGGGAUUCUCCACUAAAGUCAGAUUCUCAGGAGAGAGUUGGAUUGGCCCAACUUCAGUCAUGUGCCACCCCUCUGCUGCCCAGGAGGGAUGGGUGGCUUGAGGGACAGUCCUGCCAAAAACACCUGGGGAGGAAGUUUCUCAAAAGAAGUAAUGUGGAGGAGCUGUUCCCAAAGGAAGCGGGGGAUUCUGAGAAGGCAGGAAUAACUGAGGCCAUGAGCACAGACAGAGGAUGAAGCAGAGGUCAAGGUCAUGUGACCAGAGGAGAGAACUGGAGCAAGACAUGUAUGCACACACACAUGCACACAUGGACACUCACAUAUGCACACUUACAUGUACACAUGCACACUUACAUGUACACAUGCGUACACACGAGCUAUGGAGAAUGGUUGCCUUGAUUCCUUACUAUGAUGGAUUACAUUUUCUGAAAAUGGACACAAAAUAAAUUUCUGGUCCCAUGUCCUCAUCUGGAACCUUACCUUGCCACCCGCUGUCAGGACAUGGUGUUGAGUCCUUCCCUUGAUCAGGGAGGCCUUUGUGACUGUGUGAGCUCAGGCUAAAUGGUGUUACAUGUCUGCCAAGGUUGGCCUGUAAAAGGAGAUACAGCCGGUGCUGCUCUCUAGCUAUACAUGUGCCUGGAGCCCAGUGCUGUGCUGCAAGCAAAGCCCAACUCCAGCUGAGCCACCCCACAGCAACGCGUGCCCAGUAGCCAGUUGUGUGGCUUGUGUGAACCACCGUGGUCCUAGGUUGGCAAGGCUUGAAGAGAAAUGAGCCUACCCUGCCUUGCCCCACCCAAACUGCAGAUUUGUGGGCAAAAUAAAUGAUUGUUGUCAUGCUAACCCACUAAGUUUUGUAGUGGUCUGCUAUGCAGCAAGACAGAGUUCUUACUCAUUACUUUCCUUCUCCAAGUCCUUGCUGUGGUCCUGCCCCAAGGUUCCAGGGAAUAGCCUAGUGCUGGCAAUAACUCCUUUUUAAUUUAUGUCUGACCUGGGUUUGCCACUUGCUGCUAAUGGAACCUUGAAAAUAGGGCCCCUUGGCUGGGUGCGAUGGCUCAUGCCUGUAAUCCCAGCACUUUGGGAGGCCGAGGUGGGCACAUCAUGAGGUCAGGAGUUUGAGACCAGCCUGGCCAACAUGGUGAAACCUUGUCUCUACUAAA
RNAcentral lists this long non-coding RNA (4911 nucleotides) under Homo sapiens (human). RNAcentral's name for it is "non-protein coding lnc-NAPB-2:8". Lineage: Eukaryota; Metazoa; Chordata; Mammalia; Primates; Hominidae. The record is from RNAcentral.